UACGGAGGGUGCAAGCGUUAUCCGGAUUCACUGGGUUUAAAGGGAGCGUAGGUGGCCUUAUAAGUCAGUGGUGAAAUCUCUGGGCUUAACCCAGAAAUUGCCAUUGAUACUGUAGGGCUUGAGUAUAGAUGCCGUUGGCGGAAUAUGACAUGUAGUGGUGAAAUACAUAGAGAUGUCAUAGAACACCGAUUGCGAAGGCAGCUAACGAAACUAUAACUGACACUGAGGCUCGAAAGUGUGGGGAUCAAACAGG
Molecule: ribosomal RNA, 253 nt
Filed under: uncultured bacterium
Lineage: Bacteria
Description: partial 16S ribosomal RNA
Rfam family: Bacterial small subunit ribosomal RNA
Source: RNAcentral